This 90-nucleotide transfer RNA is filed under the name Alphaproteobacteria bacterium. RNAcentral describes it as "tRNA-Ser". It matches the Rfam family "tRNA". Rfam says of the family: Transfer RNA (tRNA) molecules are approximately 80 nucleotides in length. Their secondary structure includes four short double-helical elements and three loops (D, anti-codon, and T loops). Lineage: Bacteria; Pseudomonadati; Pseudomonadota; Alphaproteobacteria. The record is from RNAcentral.
GGAUGGGUGGCCGAGCGGUUUAAGGCACCGGUCUUGAAAACCGGCGAAGGUGUAAGCUUUCCGUGGGUUCGAAUCCCACCCCAUCCGCCA